RNAcentral lists this long non-coding RNA (1017 nucleotides) under Sus scrofa (pig). RNAcentral describes it as "lncRNA (ENSSSCG00070013687.1)". Lineage: Eukaryota; Metazoa; Chordata; Mammalia; Artiodactyla; Suidae. The record is from RNAcentral.
AUGGGCUGCACACAGCAGGAGCCCAGUGGAGAGGCCCACGACGCAGGGACGCCCGGAACCCUAGAGCAGCAUCCAGCGGCUGCAAGGACUCAUCCCGACAGCGCCCAGGGACAGGGGUGUCCGGCCGCGGGCGGGAGUGGCGGCGCUGCAGCCCUGCCGUCCUCCGCGGGGGCUCCAGUUCCUCCCAAGUCCUGCAUCUCCCCAACUCCCAAUUCCCAAUUUCCGGGGGGGUGGGGUGGUGCAGAGCCCACCCACUUCUCAGCCUCCAGCGAACUCUGGUUCCUCCUGCAGCCAGCGCCUCGCCCUGUGCGGGGCUCGGGUGUGCGUGCGCGUGACGGCGUGUCUGUGAGGCUGUGCGUGGGUCUGGCCUGCGCACUGAAGGUUCAGACACCCCCGGGGAAGGUUCUGGCUCCUCGUGUUUCUCACGGGGCGGGCCAGGAGGGGGCACGGCCUCUGGGCCCUGCAGGCUUGUCACUCACCUCUGGGCUGGGCGCCCUCCUUUUUUCUCCACAAUUCCUGGGGGUCGAAGCGCUUAAAAUCCCCAAAGCGUUUCCAAAGCUCAGGGAUGGAAGGUCCCGAGAGGCGGACCCAAGUCCACCAGGGCGCCAGGAGGGGGCAGCCCCGAGGACCAGGAGGGGAUGUUGGCCAAAGGCUGGGACAUGUGAGAGUGUGGAGGACAUGUUCCCAAGGGGGCCCCCAGAUGCAGCACCUCCUCCUGGGCUCCGCUGCCCUUCCUCACGGACGCCAACCCGCCCAGCACACCUUGGAGGCCGCACUGCCCCACCCUGGGGUCCGGAAGAGCCGUCGCUCUGGGCCGGGGGCUAUGCACAGUGGUCUGGAGGAGAUGGGGGGACCAGCUCUCCCCUGACCCCCAUGGUGGUCCCCUCGGGAGGCCUAAGGCUUUGCUCUGGCCGUCACACCCUCGUUGGGGGACCACAGGUUCUGGAUCAUCCUGCAGGCCACGCACCCAGCGCUCUGGGCCCCGGAGACCUGGCUCAGCCGGCAGCUGGCAGGUGA